AGUCUCAUGGUGUAACGGUUAGCACUCUGGACUCUGAAUCCAGUAAUCCGAGUUCAAAUCUCGGUGAGACCU
RNAcentral lists this transfer RNA (72 nucleotides) under Dermacentor andersoni. RNAcentral describes it as "transfer RNA glutamine (anticodon CUG)". It matches the Rfam family "tRNA". From Rfam's summary of the family: Transfer RNA (tRNA) molecules are approximately 80 nucleotides in length. Their secondary structure includes four short double-helical elements and three loops (D, anti-codon, and T loops). The record is from RNAcentral. Lineage: Eukaryota; Metazoa; Arthropoda; Arachnida; Ixodida; Ixodidae.